RNAcentral lists this ribosomal RNA (89 nucleotides) under Turicibacter sanguinis. Lineage: Bacteria; Bacillati; Bacillota; Erysipelotrichia; Erysipelotrichales; Turicibacteraceae. The record is from RNAcentral.
UGUGGUUACUAUAGCAAAGAGGAUACACCUGUUCCCAUUCCGAACACAGAAGUUAAGCUCUUUAGCGCCGAUGGUACUUGGUGGGAAGC